Molecule: ribosomal RNA, 374 nt
Filed under: uncultured organism
Description: partial 16S ribosomal RNA
Rfam family: Bacterial small subunit ribosomal RNA
Source: RNAcentral
GUAGGUGGCAAGCGUUGUCCGGAAUUAUUGGGCGUAAAGCGCGCGCAGGCGGUUCUUUAAGUCUGAUGUGAAAGCCCACGGCUCCACCGUGGAGGGUCAUUGGAAACUGGAGAACUUGAGUACAGAAGAGGAAAGCGGAAUUCCACGUGUAGCGGUGAAAUGCGUAGAGAUGUGGAGGAACACCAGUGGCGAAGGCGGCUUUCUGGUCUGUAACUGACGCUGAGGCGCGAAAGCGUGGGGAGCAAACAGGGAUUAGAUACCCUGGUAGUCCACGCCGUAAACGAUGAGUGCUAAGUGUUAGGGGGGUUUCCGCCCCCUUAGUGCUGCAGCUAACGCAUUAAGCACUCCGCCUGGGGAGUACGGCCGCAAGGCUG